UUGCUUUGAAAGUAUAUUUAUUAAAAACUUGAAUUAUACAGAGAUGAUUAGCAUGACCCAUGUAUAAAGAUAACACAAACUCGUGAAGCAUUUCAUACUAAA
This is a small nuclear RNA of Meriones unguiculatus (Mongolian gerbil), 102 nucleotides long. Lineage: Eukaryota; Metazoa; Chordata; Mammalia; Rodentia; Muridae. The record is from Ensembl.